This 83-nucleotide transfer RNA is filed under the name Balneolaceae bacterium. RNAcentral describes it as "tRNA-Leu". It matches the Rfam family "tRNA". From Rfam's summary of the family: Transfer RNA (tRNA) molecules are approximately 80 nucleotides in length. The record is from RNAcentral. RNAcentral also lists the same sequence under 3 other names. Lineage: Bacteria; Pseudomonadati; Balneolota; Balneolia; Balneolales; Balneolaceae.
GCGAGAGUGGCGGAAUUGGUAGACGCGCUAGAUUUAGGAUCUAGUGCCUUUUUGGCGUGGGGGUUCGAGUCCCCCCUCUCGUA